CUUUUGCUCUGUGGAUGAUGGGUGACAAUAGACCCUCGGACCACCUGAGGCCCAUGGAAUUUCUCAACAUUCGCCUAGAAGACAACCUACAGCCCUGCCCAGGGACACGCCCAAAUGAAACACACGGUCAUCCAGGCCCUUCUGAGCCUUGCCAAGAACGCUCCUGGCCCUUUGACCCCCCUGAAUCCACCAGGCCUGAUGCUCAUCAUGGUGGCUGUGGUGUGGAGCCCGCUCCCCUGGGAAGCUACUCUUUCCAGGGGGAGGCCAAGCAGACUCCAGCAUCACCGCGGUCAGCGGGGGACAGCUGCUCUUUGGGGAGUCCGCGGCAGAACCAGAGCUCAUCCACACAGGUGGUGUUCUGGGCUGGCAUCCUGCAGGCCCAGAUGUGUGUCCUGGACCUGGAGGAGGAGCUGGAGAAAACAGAGGGACUCAAGGCAGAACUUAGGUGCUGCAUCCCCCCACCCUCUAAGGACUUCCUUGGUGAUGUGGGCCUGAGCCCCAGCCUGCCCAAGGAGGACGAAGACUCUGGAGACGACAGCAGUGAGCCUGAGGAGGAAAACCAGACCUGGCCUAGGGGACAAAUGCCAGGCUCCUCCCCAGAGUGGGGUGCUGAGGAGGACAGCAUCUUCUUUGAUAAUCCACUCUUCCUGGAGAGCCCUGGCUCAGACACCAGUACUGAAGGAGAAUGCUUUUCCUGGGGUUACCCAGAUUCCCACCCAGAUAUGAAGCCUCAUAGCCCUCAAGCCCUAGAUUCUCCACUCCCAGAAGGCACAGGGCUCUGGAGACCAGGAAAUGAGCUGGAUUUGGGGAGCAACACUGCUGAUCACAGUCGGUGUGCCACCCUUCCAUUCCCUGUGCCCUCCUAUAAGCUUCACCCCUGCUUGGACUUAGAGUCCACUGAAGGGGCUCCCACAGUACCUCCUGAUCAGGAAGGUGAGACUUUCCUGGAAGAUGCUCUUAGCCCUGGCUCACCUAAGGCACCCUCUGUGGACCAUGAGUUGAUCCAGGAAUCAGAUAACUUCGGAUUUGACCUGAGUCCUGCCACCACACAUCCUGUGCAGCCUUGGCUCUCCCAGACCCCCCAGAGCCUCUCCGACCUGACUCCACCCACAUUUGAGGACCUGCAGACAGAAGAUCCUUCCUGGCCCCAGGAGCCUCUUAUCUCCCAGAAUGGAGGUGAGAGAGAUGCUGGCUAUUUCCAGGAGCCCAUGCCCUGCACCUCGGCCCCCUGGAGGAACCAAGCCUCUUCCCUGGAGCCUAGCUGCCCAGAAUCCCAGGACAGAGGCUCUGGCCCCAGGUCCAGCCAGGUGUCUUCCCAGGAGGGCAGUCCACAAGUGGAGCCCCACAGCCCCAAGUGGCCACAAGAUGCCUCACACCCUUUGCUCCUGGAGAAGGAUGAAUCAGAGUUAAGUUCUCUGAAGAAAGAAGAGACCGGGGAAGCCCCAAACCUAAGGCAGGAGGCAGAGUGUGAAGAUCCAGCCAGGACUGAGGAGGCUUCAGCUACCUGGCACCGUGUUCGCUUGACUUCUGCAGAAGGGCUUCCUGAGAGCUCCACACCCCAAGCUCAAUCUCCAGAGGAAGGCUGGAGGCCAUCAUCUAGAGACAAGAUGGCUAAUAACAUCAGAAAUGACAAGGGGGCCUGGGACCUAGCCUUGCGCCUCUAUCACCUGAAUGGUUUCCGGAAGUCUGAAGUGGCUGCCCACCUACGCAAGAACAAUGACUUCAGCAGGGCUGUGGCUGAGGCAUACUUGUCCUUCUUCCAGUUCGAAGGCCAGAGCCUGGACCGAGCCCUCCGGGGGUUCCUCCAGGCCCUGGUGCUCAGUGGAGAGACUCAGGAGCGGGAACGAAUUCUCUACCAGUUUUCCAAACGCUUCCAUUACUGCAAUCCUGGGGCCUUCCCCUCAGUAGAUUCUAUACACACCCUGACCUGUGCGAUUAUGCUUCUUAACACAGACCUGCAUGGACAGAAUAUUGGAAAGAGCAUGAGCUGCCAGGAAUUCAUAACCAACCUGAAUGGACUACAGGAUGGCAGGAACUUCCCCAAGGAGCUGCUAAAGGCCCUCUACUGGUCGAUCCGAAGUGAGAAGCUCGAGUGGGCUGUAGAUGAAGAGGAUGCAGCCAGACCUGAGAAGGACCAGCCCUCUCCCUCAGCUGGCAAGAUAAGCAGCCCCUUCCUCCAGAUGGCUCAGGACCCCACAGUGCCCACCUAUAAGCAGGGCAUCCUGGCUCGGAAGAUGCACCACGAUGCUGAUGGCAAGAAGACGCCAUGGGGCAAGCGAGGCUGGAAGAUGUUCCACACCUUACUGAAAGGGAUGGUGCUCUACUUCCUGAAGGGAGAGGGCCACUGGCUGGAUGGCCAGAGUUUGGUGGGACAUCUCGUGGAUGAGCCCGUGGGAGUACACCACUCACUAGCAAGCCCAGCCACCCACUAUACCAAGAAGCCCCAUGUCUUCCAGCUUCGGACUGCAGACUGGCGUCUCUACCUCUUCCAGGCACCCACCGCCAAGGAAAUGGCCUCCUGGAUUGCGCGCAUCAACCUGGCGGCCGCCACACACUCAGCACCCCCCUUUCCAGCCGCAGUGGGCUCCCAGCGUAGAUUCGUGAGGCCCAUCCUGCCCAUGAACCCGGCCCAGAGCUCCCUGGAGGAGCAGCAUCGAUCCCACGAGAACUGCCUGGAUGCUGCCUCCGAUGACCUGUUGGAUUUGCAGAGGAACCUGCCCGAUCGACGCGGCCGUAGCCGCGAGCUGGAGGAGUAUCGCUUGCGGAAGGAGUAUCUGGAGCACGAGAAAACUCGAUACGAGACAUACGUGCAGCUUCUGGUGUCCCGCCUACACUUUCCUCUGGCAGACCUGGCUCUGUGGGAAGAUCAAGUUGGGAAGGAAACUGAAGGCCCUCGGGAUCUGAAGCCCAGCCUGAAGAAGUCCCACUCCAGCCCAUCCCUGCACCAGGAUGAGGCCCCCACCACGGCCAAGGUGAAACGCAACAUCUCAGAGCGCAGAACAUACCGCAAGAUCAUUCCCAAGAGAAACCGCAAUCCGUUGUGACGCCAUCAUCCUCUCAUAGACACUGACCCCAGCCCUGGGGUAGACUUGAAAUGAAACCUUACGUUCCCAUGGUAUGCCUGUUCUCCAGGGGAGGUUCUGGAGACUCAGGGACUUAGGGCUGUGCCUGUAGGGAGGAGACCGGGCUCAGGGAGCAGCCACCAUUGUCUCUGUUCAGCCAUGUGUGCAAAGAAGUUUCUGGCCAACCGGGGCCUCUGCUGCCCACCCUCUGACUGACACGUUGCCUCUCCUGCCUUCCUGCUGGGCCGUGUGUCCUCCCUUCCAAUAAUGCUUGGAACAACUCUGAAGGCUUGGAGCUCCACAAUGUGGGGCUGGUCCUUAAGGUCAUGGCAGGGGAGUCUCUGGCCGGGGCCUGGGGCUGGCCCAUGCACCCAAUGGGUGUGCAAUAAAUAGAGCCUACCAAAGAA
Peromyscus eremicus (cactus mouse) is the source of this 3469-nucleotide RNA transcript. It is a transcript of the gene named pleckstrin and Sec7 domain containing 4, with no coding region annotated. Lineage: Eukaryota; Metazoa; Chordata; Mammalia; Rodentia; Cricetidae. The transcript is spliced from 17 exons. The record is from RefSeq and is a predicted model, not a curated record.